RNAcentral lists this long non-coding RNA (1140 nucleotides) under Calidris pugnax (ruff). Its description in RNAcentral is "lncRNA (ENSCPUG00000000141.1)". Lineage: Eukaryota; Metazoa; Chordata; Aves; Charadriiformes; Scolopacidae. The record is from RNAcentral.
UUAGGAAAAAUUAAAAUACUGACAUACUGAAAAAUAUCUUUAGUAUGUCUAGACAAAUGUACUAACCUAUAUUGCCCUUCAAAGCUUUGCAAGAUAGUCCUUGCAGCUUGUAAUUUCCGUAACAUUUUCAUUAUGAUGGGUUCAUCUUUACAAGAAGGCAGACAGACUAUAAACGGCAACGAGCCAGGAUCAAAAGCUAACAAUAGGUAGGGAAGAAACUGUUGAAUCCACAUAUUCCUGCCUUUGUCAAUCUACAGUAAAUACUAUGGCAUAAAACCUGAAAUAUUUUGGACAAUAUUAUCAAACCCAGUGUUUGGUAUGCAGAUAUAACACCCAAAGAUGUGACAUUUGGGAACCACGUCUUUAUUUACACUGACUCCAACUAGUUGGGCUCCCAGUAAGAGCUCAACCGCAGCAGCUUGUGUUCCUGGUGCUCAAGGCUUGCUGAGUUCCCACAGGGGCUUGUGUAAUAUUUUGAAACCCUGCGUUGUCACAGCUAAAUCGUUACCGGUACCCAAGUUGACAAGCCACAAACUCACCUUCUGAAAUGACAUCUUAGUGGGUCUUGGGAGACUGAAAGACCCAAAACCCAGCUGUAUUUUACUCUGGCACUUCUGCAUCUUCUUCAGCUACCCAGGCGGUUAUUUAUUACUGUUCUUUGUUACCUGUGACUGGGCGACAUUUUGCUGGGCAAAGUUCUGGGUUGCUACAGAAACUGUCUCUGCAAAUCCAUUCAAUCAAGCAAGGUUCUGGUGACAAGACUCAUGCUUUCAGCAGGAACAUAAAUAAUUCACGUUUUUGCUGGCCUGCUCUCCGUGCCUUCCCUACAAGCAGCUCAAAGGAAAGUAGCUGUGAUCAGCUGGAACUCAUACCUAGAGAGUUCAAGAAGGUGGCCCUGGGACAGUGGUUGCUCCAGUCACAAUGUCCCCUGGAGAUGAGAGAAGCUUUCAGAGGGCUGGAAUUUGCAGGAACUGAAAUGGACCCGACUGAUCUGAGCUAGUAAAGCACAACCAGCCUCCAUCCCCAGGGAGACACAGCAACACCCCUCAGCCCGGUCACGUCAGGGUUGCAUCUGCCUCCACUUCUCCUCAUUUGUUUUUCCAGAAAGGUUAACUGCAAUAAACUAACUCUUAGGGGACA